GACGAACCGUGCGAACGUUGUUCGGAAUCACUGGGCUUAAAGGGCGCGUAGGCGGGCUGUCAAGUCCGGGGUGAAAUCCUCCAGCUCAACUGGAGAAUGGCCUCGGAUACUGAUGGUCUCGAGGAGGAUAGGGGCACACGGAACUGUGGGUGGAGCGGUGAAAUGCGUUGAUAUCCACAGGAACUCCGGUGGCGAAAGCGGUGUGCUGGAUCCUUUCUGACGCUGAUGCGCGAAAGCCAGGGGAGCAAACGGG
RNAcentral lists this ribosomal RNA (253 nucleotides) under uncultured bacterium. RNAcentral describes it as "partial 16S ribosomal RNA". It matches the Rfam family "Bacterial small subunit ribosomal RNA", at positions 524 to 776 of the family's 1533-position model. The record is from RNAcentral. RNAcentral also lists the same sequence under 1 other name.